UGGGGGAAGAUGUUGGGGCCAUGGGGGAUAUUAGGGGUGUCAGGGUUGUGGGGUUGUUGACAAGUGUCCGGGCAGGGGCUGAGGCACUCUGCCCUGAGUGGUGGUGUUGCCCUGCUUUGCCCCAGCCCUGCUGUGUGGUAGUUGGGGGAGCAGGACAGAGCUCACCCCAUUCUGGGAACGGCAUGAGCAGUGAUACAGGUGGUGAAUUGCAACUCCCACCCGUCAGUCUGAGCCUGUAACUAGAAAAGGAAUGUCUGGAGUCAAAGAAGAUGGGUUUGGGUCUGUGCUGGGAGCAGAGAUUGGGCCCUUACAGGGAACAGACACAAACAGAUUGCCAUGAGGGAGAAUACUGUUCAGUUGAAUGACUGCUCUAUCAGUGGUGUGGUAAGAUUUUAUAGUGAUCUGUUGUCUUCUGCUAUUGCUACCAUGGGCUUCAGACACUUUCUAUACUAGCUGCUUCUUCAUAAGUCAUGAUGGUAGACUGAUUCCCUGCAACGGAGGAGAGAGAGGUAGAAGUCUUGUGGUGAGUCUGACUGAUCUACAGAAUAAAGAACUUUUGAUGUUCAAAACUCUAUGGUUGCAGGUUACCACAACAGACGGGACCAUUGUGAUCAUCUAAUCUGACCUGCUGCAUAACACAGGCCUUAAUUAAGUUUUUGAACUAGAGCCUAUCUUUUAGAAAUAUAUUCCAUUUUAAAGUUUUCCAGUGAUGGAGAAUCCACUACAAUCCCUGGCAAGUUGUUCCAAUGGUUAUUACCCUGUUAAAUUUGUACCUUAUUUUUACUCUUAAUUUGUCUAGCUUCGGCUUCUAGCCACUGGAUCUUGUUAUGGUGAAGGGGAAAAAAGAUGCCUUCCUUCACCAUUAUAGUGUCCACAGUUACACGCUGCAGAACUCUUCCAGGUGAUUAAAAGGUGGGUCCUCUGAUGACAAAGAAUCCCCCCUUUGGACUCCCGCCCCCUCAAAGGCCUCAUGUUGUGGUGACAGGCUGUGCACAGCUCCCUUGGAACCCAUCAAAACUGCACCAUAGAGAAGGAAGUGCUUCCCCGGGACUGGACAUGCUGCCUCCUCAAUGCUGCCAGCCUAGGGCCCUGACCCUGAUCUCCCAUAGUGCUCCAUUAUAGAGCCCAGCCCAUCAUCUCUAAAGGAAACUUCAGUUUAAUCAGCUUUUCUGCAUUCUCCCUGGUUAGCUGAUAAAACAGAAGCAGCUGAAUAUUGAGACAUUAUAGCAGUUUGAGUCACAAGUGAAAACAAACUCCAUAUCCUAUAGAGCCAUGAAUCCAAACUUACCCUGAAC
This is a long non-coding RNA of Mauremys mutica (yellowpond turtle), 1295 nucleotides long. RefSeq lists it as uncharacterized. Lineage: Eukaryota; Metazoa; Chordata; Testudines; Geoemydidae. The transcript has 3 exons. The record is from RefSeq and is a predicted model, not a curated record.